UACGGAGGGUGCGAGCGUUGUCCGGAAUCAUUGGGCGUAAAGGGCGCGUAGGUGGCGGCUUAAGCGUGCGGUGAAAAGCUCGGGGGCUCAACCCCCGAGUCGGCCGUGCGAACUGGAGUCGCUUGAGCACUGUAGAGGCAGGCGGAAUUCCGGGUGUAGCGGUGGAAUGCGUAGAGAUCCGGAAGAACACCGGUGGCGAGGCGGCCUGCUGGGCAGUAGCUGACACUGAGGCGCGACAGCGUGGGGAGCAAACAGG
RNAcentral lists this ribosomal RNA (256 nucleotides) under uncultured bacterium. Its description in RNAcentral is "partial 16S ribosomal RNA". It matches the Rfam family "Bacterial small subunit ribosomal RNA", at positions 524 to 776 of the family's 1533-position model. The record is from RNAcentral.